UUUAUAAGGAGGGGAGAAUUGUCACAUCCCGACCCUUAUAUUUUUACCUUAUUUACUAGCGUGAUUAUAAUAAGUAUUUUACCGUCUCGAUCAUUGAGUUAAUAGUUUAAGUGGUCCCUAGAGGGGUUCGGGGACGAUUAUGUGCGGAGGAUUAUUCGUAUGAGGAAAAAUACGACGACGGUAAAAAUAGUAAAUUUUAGCUAGUAAAAGGUAAUUUUUAUUCGGGUAUUAUUUUUCGGGGUGUUUCAUUUUUUUGAAAUUGGGUUGUUUAAAGGGUGGACCGGUUUGGGGUGUGAGGCCCAAACCCAUUUUCUCUUCUCUCUCUUUUCUACCCGGUUUUCUCUCUCUCUCUCUCCCCGAUUUUUCCUUCCUCCCGCUGCCGUCCGUCCGGCUGUCCUCCUGCCGCCGUCCGGCCACCAGCUGCCGCCGCUCCACCCCAGUUCGGACCCCCAUCUCCUCCUCUCCCCUCCCCGGCCUACGCCCCCGAGCCUCUAACCCGCCGGAAGAGGAGAAACCGCCGGAAACGCCGGGAAGCAUUUCGCCGGAACUCCCUCCUCCGGCACCAAUCCGGGCAAGCUUGGUACGGAUUUGUAGCCCUCCAACCCAGCAGCCUUGCCCUAAAAGGACUCACUCCCUCUUGAGCUAGGUAAGGAGAAAUUUGAGGUGGAAGUUUUAUGGUGUUUUUGAUGUUUUUAGUCGAUUGCCCUAGUUAGGCUUGGAAUUGGUGUUUGUGCUAGUUAUGAAAGUUGUAGAGUAUGAUGAGAGGAAGAUGCUGUUAAAAUUUCAUAGGAAUUGGAGGUCGCCGAAAUUGGCCUCCGGCCGCCGCUGCCGGCGGAGCCGCCGCCGGUUGGGAGAUUUUAAUGUUGUUAAAUUUGGAAUAUUAAGGGGAGUUUAUUGAAGUGAGUUAUGGAAUUUUUGGAUGAGUUUUGGAUAGGCUUAUGAAUUUCCGAAGUUAGUAUUUUUGGCGGUUAAUUUAUGUAGAAUCCGGCCGUUGGAUUAAGUUGUUUAAUCUGUGGGAAGGUGUAGUUACAGCUGCUGGUUCUAGGGUUGAAAUGUGGACCAUUUCGAAGUUAGGCAAUGAUGAGCGUGUUAAUGGCUCUCGGUUAAUUUCUGCCUAUUUUGUGUAAAUAUUGGAAUUUCGGCUGGGAACUUAAUAUUAUAUUUGGAACAGGUCGUGAGGAGGCUCGAGCUGACGAGGCCCCAGAUCGACAUCAGGCUUAGGCCUAAUUAGUGAGUGGACUUUUGUUUUAAAUAAUGUGCGUGCGAAAUAAUUUAUGUUGUUGGAGAAUAACCGAAAUUGAGAAUUUACGGUGAGUGUAUAUAUAUAUAUCCAUAUGUGGAUGAUUAUGAGAAUAAUAUGUAUAUGAGAGAAUGCUAGCUAGCUAUACGUGCUUUUCCACCAUAUUGAGGUAAAAUUCCAUUAUGGUGCAACGUGAGCGUUAGACGCAAUCGUUGUAGCCCUAUAUAAAAUUAAUAAUUUAUAUAGGGGAUAUGCGCGUAUAUUUAUACACCGUCUUUUCCACCAUAAUGAGGUAAAAUGCCAUUAUGGUGCAACGUGAGCGUUAGAUGCAAGCGUUGUAGCCUUGUGUGAAUUUUCUAUUUGUUUUUGUUGUUUCAAGAAAAUUCAUACAAGGGAUAUGACGAGUGUAAUACAUACAUAUUUUAUUUUAGCCUGAGAGGCUGUAUUUUAUUGAGCGUUGGAGACUGGCCGGAGCCAGUCAUGAAAUUCCAAUUUUCGUGUUGAGUGUUUUGAGCUGUCGCAUGCAGCAUAUUUUCUUUUCUAUGGAAAAGUAAAAAUUGGGAAAGCAUAAAGAAUUAUUUCCUUUAUUUUAUUUUUGUCCACUCACUCUAAUGUUAUUAAAUGUUUUCCCCUGGGCCUUUCGUUUUAAAUUGCCCAGUCUGCAGAGUUCGGGUUGGAUCUAGUAGGAGGCGAGACAUAGUCACCCGCAUUUCUGCCAAUUUUCAUCAGUAGGUUACCUGUUCAACCUACUCAUGUUUUCUUGCUUCCGUUUGUGUUUAGUAGCUCUGAAUACUUUAGGAUUAUUGUAAAUUAUGUGAUGUUUAGAAGUGUUGAAUUAAGAGUGAAAUUUGGAAUUUUCGAGUUAGGGUUGUCCAUCUGCAAGGGAGAUUUUCUCAAUCUUU
This 2142-nucleotide long non-coding RNA is filed under the name Fragaria vesca (wild strawberry). Its description in RNAcentral is "long non-coding RNA (FVES_LNC004816)". The record is from RNAcentral. Lineage: Eukaryota; Viridiplantae; Streptophyta; Magnoliopsida; Rosales; Rosaceae.